AAAUUGAAGAGUUUGAUCAUGGCUCAGAUUGAACGCUGGCGGCAGGCCUAACACAUGCAAGUCGAACGGUAACAGGAAGCAGCUUGCUGCUUCGCUGACGAGUGGCGGACGGGUGAGUAAUGUCUGGGAAACUACCUGAUGGAGGGGGAUAACUACUGGAAACGGUGGCUAAUACCGCAUAACGUCGCAAGACCAAAGAGGGGGACCUU
This 209-nucleotide ribosomal RNA is filed under the name Salmonella enterica. RNAcentral describes it as "partial 16S ribosomal RNA". It matches the Rfam family "Bacterial small subunit ribosomal RNA", at positions 1 to 216 of the family's 1533-position model. Lineage: Bacteria; Pseudomonadati; Pseudomonadota; Gammaproteobacteria; Enterobacterales; Enterobacteriaceae. The record is from RNAcentral.